Non-coding RNA from Paramormyrops kingsleyae, 1564 nucleotides. NCBI's taxonomy places the organism in Eukaryota, Metazoa, Chordata, Actinopteri, Osteoglossiformes, Mormyridae. The record is from RefSeq and is a predicted model, not a curated record.
GGGCGCGCCUCGGUGGUUCAUUUACGGCGCAAAUCGAAAACGCAAGUAACAGCAAAAAAGGGAGAAAGAUGAAGAAGACGAAGGUCUUCAUGGGGUUCAUGAACCAAUUGAAGGACGUCUUGGGUCGACUGGGGAGGUACAAGGAAGAGAGCAAGACGUUACUUACUUCAGCAAAACACUGAUUCUGCGUCAACAGUGACCCCCCUUGGUAGCCCUCUUCCAAGCUACCUGCUGAACAUACAGUUUGCCAAACUGAAAUAAUUCACCUUGCAGCACUUCCUAUUACUGUUAGAUGGUGGUGCUUGUUACUUGCCCAAACCCCAUUUUCUUAACCAUAACUACCCAUUUCUCCAUUGCAGGGUCACGGGGGUCUAGAGUCAACAGGCACAAGGCAGGGAAUGACCCAGGUUGGGGUGCCAACCCAACGCAGGGUACUCACACCAUUCACAGACAAUUUGGUGGGGGGGGGGGGGGGCAGAGGAAACCCCAUGAUGGCACGGGAAGAAAAUGAAAACUCCGCCCCCACAGAGCCAGGACGUCGGGCACAAACGCAGGCCUGCGCCGUGACAGAGCUCGGCUCCUCACUUGGGCUUCUCCAGCGGCUCUGGCUCCUUCCGCGCUUUUCCCACAGGAUUUUUCUCUGCAUCUUCCACUGUCACCAACUGGAACUCAGCCUCCACUUUACCCUGGAUGUCCAAAAAAAUGACAUGAAACAUAUAAAGCCACUGGGACACCUAAAUAAUGCAGUGCUUUCCCUGCGCCCCGUCAAGGAGAAGCGAUCACCAGCUUUACCAUCAGGAGGUAAGUGUUCCCGCUGGCAUCCACAAACUGCAGGUCCUCUGGCUUCAUCUGGCUCCUCUUGCUCUUCUUUUUCUUCUUCUUGUUCUUCCUGGCCUCCUCCGCCUCGCGCUCCUCCCUCUCGAUGUCCUCCAGGCUCUUGAGCUUAAUGACAGGCCACCAGCCUUUCAUCCUCUUGCUGCGGAAGAUAGAGAAGCGAGGGUUGGCCUUGUCCUUCGCCAUCUUCACGCUGCACUGCUCUGAGGACUUGGCUGCCCUCACCAUAUCAUUCAGGCGUAGCUCUAUGGAGCCUGCAGGUGAAUGGAGAAGCGUCAAAAAAAGCAGGGUCUGUGAAGGCAUGGUGCAGUUCAGGGGUCUCAUUUAAUUUGGCAAGGACCUGGGGGACACAGCUCACACUGACAUACAAUAUGCCGGCUGCAGAAGUGAACUUCGGUCUAUGUGGCUUAAUGGACGCACCACAACAUAAUACUGAAGACUGUAACCAAAAGAAGGAAAUAGAGUCACUGAUUCACAACAAGCCAACAUCCAGGCGCAUUCAAACAUUCAAGCUGAAGAUUCUUUGGUGCAAAGUGCAUGAGGCUUUGGACGACGUGUGUGCCCACCAGGACCAGCCGGCCGAAGGCACGCUGCUCCAUGACGAAGACGGGAAAAAAGGAUCGUGUGCGAGGGAAUCCUGGCGAAGGCGAUCCGCUUCCCUCCACUCAUCAUCCAGAGAAAUACAUCGGGCAGUGUGCUUUGGGGCUGCCGACACACGAGACACACGAGA